UCCACCCUUGGAUCUUCAAUGGAUGGCUCCUUGAUUUCUCACAAAAAUCCAAGCUUUGUCUUUGAUCUUAUCUUGAAUAGUGUUUUUCUUGGAUAGAGUUUGUUGGAGAAUCUUAUCUUUGUAUAAAUUCAAACUUGAAUAGUGUUUUGUCCCCUUGGAAUAUUAUACCUUGAAUAAAGUGUCAAAAGAUAAUAAUAAUAAUAAUAUUCAAGGUAAAAAU
RNAcentral lists this long non-coding RNA (220 nucleotides) under Zostera marina. Its description in RNAcentral is "long non-coding RNA (ZMAR_LNC003332)". Lineage: Eukaryota; Viridiplantae; Streptophyta; Magnoliopsida; Alismatales; Zosteraceae. The record is from RNAcentral.